GAGUCAACGUAUGAUAAUACGUGGCGAACGGCUCAGUAACACGUAGUCAACAUGCCCAAAGGACGUGGAUAACCUCGGGAAACUGAGGAUAAACCGCGAUAGGUCAUAAGUACUGGAAUGUUUUAUGGCUCAAAUCUACAUGGCCUCUGGAUUGGACUGCGGCCGAUCAGGCUGUUGGUGAGGUAAUGGCCCACCAAACCUGUUACCGGUACGGGCUCUGAGAGGAGGAGCCCGGAGAUGGGCACUGAGACAAGGGCCCAGGCCCUAUGGGGCGCAGCAGGCGCGAAACCUCUGCAAUAGGCGAAAGCUUGACAGGGUUACUCUGAGUGAUUCCCGCUAAGGGAAUCUUUUGGCAUCUCUAAAAACGAUGCAGAAUAAGGGGUGGGCAAGUCUGGUGUCAGCCGCCGCGGUAAUACCAGCACCCCGAGUGGUCGGGACGGUUAUUGGGCCUAAAGCAUCCGUAGCCGGUCUUGCAAGUCUUCCGUUAAAUCCACCUGCUUAACAGAUGGGCUGCGGAAGAUACUACAAGACUAGGAGGCGGGAGAGGCAAGCGGUACUCAGUGGGUAGGGGUAAAAUCCUCUGAUCCAUUGAAGACCACCAGUGGCGAAGGCGGCUUGCCAGAACGCGCUCGACGGUGAGGGAUGAAAGCUGGGGGAGCAAACCGGAUUAGAUACCCGGGUAGUCCCAGCUGUAAACGAUGCAGACUCGGUGA
Molecule: ribosomal RNA, 713 nt
Filed under: uncultured archaeon
Lineage: Archaea
Description: bacterial SSU rRNA
Rfam family: Archaeal small subunit ribosomal RNA
Source: RNAcentral